UUACACCAGUUCCCAUACAAUCACUGAAGUUAAGCAAGGUUGAGCCUGGUCAGUAGCUAGAUGGGUGACUACUUCGGGAUACCAGGUGCUGUAA
This is a non-coding RNA of Acanthosepion pharaonis, 94 nucleotides long. The record is from the annotation of a GenBank genome assembly. NCBI's taxonomy places the organism in Eukaryota, Metazoa, Mollusca, Cephalopoda, Sepiida, Sepiidae.